RNAcentral lists this ribosomal RNA (251 nucleotides) under uncultured bacterium. RNAcentral describes it as "partial 16S ribosomal RNA". It matches the Rfam family "Bacterial small subunit ribosomal RNA", at positions 524 to 776 of the family's 1533-position model. The record is from RNAcentral.
GACGGGGGGGGCAAGUGUUCUUCGGAAUGACUGGGCGUAAAGGGUACGUAGGCGGUGAAUCGGGUUGAAAGUGAAAGUCGCCAAAAAGUGGCGGAAUGCUCUCGAAACCAAUUCACUUGAGUGAGACAGAGGAGAGUGGAAUUUCGUGUGUAGGGGUGAAAUCCGUAAAUAUACGAAGGAACGCCAAAAGCGAAGGCAGCUCUCUGGGUCCCUACCGACGCUGGGGUGCGAAAGCAUGGGGAGCGAACAGG